Bubalus bubalis (water buffalo) is the source of this 328-nucleotide long non-coding RNA. RefSeq lists it as uncharacterized. Lineage: Eukaryota; Metazoa; Chordata; Mammalia; Artiodactyla; Bovidae. The record is from RefSeq and is a predicted model, not a curated record. The transcript is spliced from 3 exons.
GGAUGGGGUACCAGCAUCGAGAAGUGUCUCAUGCUGCCCAGGGGAGUGGAUGGCAGCAGACUGUUCUUGAGGAGGCCUUCUUCCAGUUUCUGCCCUGCUCCUGCUUUCUUACCUGAGUAUACCCAGUUACAGAUGAGCCUCUCCUGGAUUGGAAUGAUGCUUUUAUCUGGAUAUGACCAACACUUUGGAAUAGUUUGGGAUCUCUUGUAUGAACCCCACCUGAGUCAACACAGGACCGACCUCUGCUUCUGCAUCUCAAGCUCCCCACCUUCAGAACAGCAACUGCAGAGAAAACAACAGGCGGGGUGUUUCAAUUUCAAGUCUGAAA